AAUAAAAUAAAAAAUUAAUAAGGUUAUAACUAUAAUAGUGUAGAUACGUCAUCCUUUUGAGAAAAUCUUUUAAAUGGUGAAGAUCUUCUUUAAUUGUGGAGAUGAUUUAUGGAAGAAUUAAGGAAGAUUAUGGCAGGUUUGGGAAACGAUUAAUUGUCUCCCAUAUCUUCAUAAAUGCGUGAGAUUUAAGCUCUUAUUAAGCCAUGAAAUUUAGUUUCCC
Molecule: long non-coding RNA, 220 nt
Filed under: Carica papaya (papaya)
Lineage: Eukaryota; Viridiplantae; Streptophyta; Magnoliopsida; Brassicales; Caricaceae
Description: long non-coding RNA (CPAP_LNC005680)
Source: RNAcentral